CAACAGAACGGGAAAUUCAACCCAACAGUUGUUAAGCUCAGUAUUUGAGGCACUGAACUUGGAUAAGUAUAAUAUUAACAGCAACACAAGAAUUAACAGAAUUAGUAUGCUAAACUUGUCUCAAAUCUUAUAAUCUAUCACAUAAAGCCAUGGGAGCGGAAGCGUAAUAUAUAUUAAACGAAAUAGAAUGAAGAUAAGGCUCAGUAGGAGGUCUUUCAUCAAUUCAAAGCUGGAAAUGCAAUUAGAAAAACACAACAGCGCAAAACCCAAAAUAAUCAAACUAAGGCAAAGACCAUAGUCAACAAGCUAUCCAAACGUUGAAUCAUACUUAAAAAAUCAAAGUUCCAGGAACGCAAGAGAGAGCGACCUGUAGAGAGAGUAUGCGGCCGAAAAACACGUAGAGGCUCUCCGGGAAAAUGUGCGAAGAUUUUUCGGGAAAAAAACCGAUGGAGCCGCUGGAUCGAAAAGACCCAAAAUAAAA
This 481-nucleotide unclassified non-coding RNA is filed under the name Hevea brasiliensis (rubber tree). The record is from RNAcentral. Lineage: Eukaryota; Viridiplantae; Streptophyta; Magnoliopsida; Malpighiales; Euphorbiaceae.